Long non-coding RNA from Medicago truncatula (barrel medic), 1125 nucleotides. RefSeq lists it as uncharacterized. NCBI's taxonomy places the organism in Eukaryota, Viridiplantae, Streptophyta, Magnoliopsida, Fabales, Fabaceae. The record is from RefSeq and is a predicted model, not a curated record. The transcript is spliced from 6 exons.
GUACAAAUUCACUUUCUCUGGAUCGAACACAAACUUCACUCCAAUCGCAAAUCGCCGCGAACCUCACCUCGCCACCGUAUAUCUCAACUUCACCGCCGUAUUUCUCACUUCGCCACCGUAUCACAACCUCGCACGUCUCACAUUGCCACCGUAUCUCUCAAUCGCAGAUUCUCACCUUCGUCAAGCCUUUAAAUUGGGUUACGUCGCAGCAGCAGAAGCGAUGAUGGCGAUUCUUAGCAUUUCUUCUCAUCGAUAGGGUUAGUGUUCUCAUUCUCUGAGAUUUGUGCUAUUUAUUUUGAAAUUGUUGUUGUUGCUGAUGUUGAAAUUGAUUCGUUGUUGUUAGAUUUUAAAUUAAUUUUGAAAUUGAUGUGUUUCUAUUGUUGAAAUUGAACUUGAGUUUCAAAUUGAUGUUGAAAUUGAUGUGUUUCAUCUAUAACUCGGAUAAUUCUUCCCUGCAACAUGUGAUUAUCUCGAGUUCGUAGCCGCAAAAUGAAAUUCCUCCAAUUUUUGGAUACGGUGUGCUGAUGCCAAAUCUCAGGAAUUAAAUGAAGUAAUCUCGAUGGUCUCCGGUGGCGGGUUUUCGAUGCCAAGGGCCAGGUGGUCGCUAACUGCAGAGCUCUUGCUAACUGCUUAGUUGAGCAUGAUAUAAACUGAUUUUUGGUGGUAGUGAUAAUCACCUGGUUCUUGUUGAUCUGAGGCCAUCAGGUAUUGAUGGUGCUCGAGUGGAGAAAAUUCUUGACAUGGCUUUGAUAACCCUCAACAAGAAUUCAGUGCCUGGUGACAAGAGUGCCCUGGUUCCUGGAGGCAUCCACAUCGGUUCACCAGCAAUGACAACAAGAGGACUUGGUGUGCUCAUUUUCUUUUAGAGGAAUUCUGUCAAGAUAGAAUUUUGGCGUCUGCGUGAUGCUCAAGGGAAGCCACCUGGUGUGAUUGGAUGGUGGCCUUCAAGAUCAGUCACAUUGGAAUUUUGAAGAAUUGAUUGGUUUUGUUUAGAGAAGAAUAAAUUAAUUUCUUAACUUAGUUACAAUGUAGAGUUCUCAGCUUCUUAUCAAUGUAGAGAGACAAAUAAUUCUUUUAUGCUAUUCAUAAUUCUUCAUUAUUGAAUUAACUUAACAUGAUUUUAUC